UACAUGCAAGUCGAACGGAAACCUUCGGGUUUUAGUGGCGAACGGGUGAGUAACACGUAAGCAACCUACCCUAAAGACGAGGAUAACCAUUGGAAACAGUGGCUAAGACUGGAUAGGAAGAUAAAAGGCAUCUUGUAUCUUUUAAAAGACCUAGUUAAUAGGUAUGCUUUAGGAGGGGCUUGCGCCAUAUUAGUUAGUUGGUAGGGUAAUGGCCUACCAAGACGAUGAUGUGUAGCUGGACUGAGAGGUUGAACAGCCACAUUGGGACUGAGACACGGCCCAAACUCCUACGGGAGGCAGCAGUAGGGAAUUUUCGGCAAUGGAGGAAACUCUGACCGAGCAACGCCGCGUGAAUGACGAAGUACUUCGGUAUGUAAAGUUCUUUUAUCGAGGAAGAAAAGCAAAUGGCGAACCAUUUGUUUGCCGGUACUUGAUGAAUAAGCCCCGGCUAAUUAUGUGCCAGCAGCCGCGGUAAGACAUAAGGGGCAAGUGUUAUCCGGAAUUAUUGGGCGUAAAGGGUGCGUAGGCGGUCUAGUAAGUCAGUGGUGUAAUGGCAACGCUUAACGUUGUCCGGCUAUUGAAACUGCUAAACUUGAGUUAGAUAGAGGCGAGUGGAAUUCCAUGUGUAGCGGUAAAAUGCGUAAAUAUAUGGAGGAACACCAGAGGCGUAGGCGGCUCGCUGGGUCUUAACUGACGCUGAGGCACGAAAGCGUGGGGAGCAAACAGGAUUAGAUACCCUGGUAGUCCACGCCGUAAACGAUGAGUACUAAGUGUCGGGUUAAACCGGUACUGAAGUUAACACAUUAAGUACUCCGCCUGAGUAGUACGUACGCAAGUAUGAAACUUAAAGGAAUUGACGGGACUCCGCACAAGCGGUGGAUCAUGUUGUUUAAUUCGAAGAUACCCGAAAAACCUUACCAGGUCUUGACAUGUUUUUGCAAAAUGAUAGUAAUAUCGUGGAGGUUACCAGAAACACAGGUGGUGCAUGGUUGUCGUCAGCUCGUGUCGUGAGAUGUUAGGUUAAGUCCUAAAACGAGCGAAACCCUUAUCGUUAGUUGCCAGCACGUUAUGGUGGGGACUUUAACGAGACUGCCAAUGAUAAAUUGGAGGAAGGUGAGGAUCACGUCAAAUCAGCAUGCCCCUUAUGACCUGGGCUACAAACGUGAUACAAUGGCUGUUACAAAGGGUAGCUGAAACGCAAGUUCUUGGCCAAUCCCCAAAAACAGUCCCAGUCCGGAUUGAAGUCUGCAACUCGACUUCAUGAAGUUGGAAUCGCUAGUAAUCGCGAAUCAGCAUGUCGCGGUGAAUACGUUCUCGGGGUUUGUACACACCGCCCGUCAAACCACGAAAGUUGGCAAUACCCCAAAACGGUAGCCUAACUCGUUUAUUCGAGAGGGCGCCGUCUAAGGUAGGGUCGAUGAUUGGGGUUAAGUCGUAACAAGGUAUCCCUACCGGAAGGUGGGGAUGGAUCACCUCCUUUCUAAGGAAACCAAUAAAAUCAAUCAUCUUCAGUUUUGAAAGACUUAGGCAACUAAGUUUUUCUUCGUGACUUCACGAAGGGCCUAUAGCUCAGUUGGUUAGAGCACACGCCUGAUAAGCGUGAGGUCGGUGGUUCAAGUCCAUUUAGGCCCACCAGAGUUAUAGGUUUCGUAAGAACACAAAUUCUUUGAAAAUUAGGUAAAUAAUAGUUAUUUAUCCGGAACAUUAAAGGAAAUAAGAGCGCACAGUGGAUGCCUAGGCACCA
This 1744-nucleotide ribosomal RNA is filed under the name Soybean witches'-broom phytoplasma. RNAcentral's name for it is "bacterial SSU rRNA". The stretch from base 1 to 1480 matches the Rfam family "Bacterial small subunit ribosomal RNA". Lineage: Bacteria; Bacillati; Mycoplasmatota; Mollicutes; Acholeplasmatales; Acholeplasmataceae. The record is from RNAcentral.